RNAcentral lists this ribosomal RNA (214 nucleotides) under uncultured bacterium. RNAcentral's name for it is "partial 16S ribosomal RNA". It matches the Rfam family "Bacterial small subunit ribosomal RNA", at positions 1287 to 1500 of the family's 1533-position model. The record is from RNAcentral.
CUCAGUUCGGAUUGUAGGCUGAAACUCGCCUACAUGAAGCUGGAGUUACUAGUAAUCGCAGAUCAGAAUGCUGCGGUGAAUGCGUUCCCGGGUCUUGUACACACCGCCCGUCACACCACGAGAGUCGGGAACACCCGAAGUCCGUAGCCUAACAGCAAUGAGGGCGCGGCCGAAGGUGGGUUCGAUAAUUGGGGUGAAGUCGUAACAAGGUAGC